AGCAGCCGCGGUAAUUCCAGCUCCAAUAGCGUAUAUUAAAGUUGUUGCAGUUAAAAAGCUCGUAGUUGAAUUUCGGGGUUAGUAGGCUGGUCGUGCCACAGGUAUGCACUGGUCUUACUGACUUCUCCUUUCUGAAGAACUGUAAUGCCAUUAAUUUGGUGUUGCAGGGAAACAGGACUGUUACUUUGAAAAAAUUAGAGUGUUUAAAGCAGGCUAACGCUUGGAUACAUUAGCAUGGAAUAAUGAAAUAGGACGUUCGAUCCUAUUUUGUUGGUUUCUAGGAUUGACGUAAUGAUUAAUAGGGAUAGUUGGGGGCAUUAGUAUUCAAUUGUCAGAGGUGAAAUUCUUGGAUUUAUUGAAGACUAACUACUGCGAAAGCAUUUGCCAAGGAUGUUUUCAUUAAUCAAGAACGAAAGUUAGGGGAACGAAGACGAUCAGAUACCGUCGUAGUCUUAACCAUAAACUAUGCCGACUAGGGAUCGGAUGAUGUUAAUUUUUUAAUGACUCA
RNAcentral lists this ribosomal RNA (508 nucleotides) under uncultured Glomus. Its description in RNAcentral is "SSU rRNA". It matches the Rfam family "Eukaryotic small subunit ribosomal RNA", at positions 569 to 1078 of the family's 1831-position model. The record is from RNAcentral. Lineage: Eukaryota; Fungi; Glomeromycota; Glomeromycetes; Glomerales; Glomeraceae.